This 706-nucleotide long non-coding RNA is filed under the name Phoenix dactylifera (date palm). RNAcentral's name for it is "long non-coding RNA (PDAC_LNC005230)". The record is from RNAcentral. Lineage: Eukaryota; Viridiplantae; Streptophyta; Magnoliopsida; Arecales; Arecaceae.
UCUCCCUCUCUCUCUUUGUGUCUGUAUAUAUGUGUGUGUUUGCUUGUCAAUGCUCAUACGCAUGCGCAAGUUCCAAAAUGUCUGCAUCAGAAUAUUUUUCUGAUAGAAGUUUGUUCUGUGCCCAAAGAUUGAUAGGGAAUGGCUUCCAUUAUAUAAUGCUAUUUUUCUUGAGUUAGGCUACUUGACCAAGAAAAAAAAGAACACUGAAUUGUUGCCAUGAAUGUCAUGCUACGUAAAAAACUCCUACAUGAGCAUUAUCAAACAUCUUAGGUAAGAUGUGACACCUAAGUCGGAUAAACUAGAAGCGAGCAGGCAAGUCAUUACCAAUUCAGAUGAAAGCGCAGAAGAAUGGGAAUAAACAGUUGUAGAGGAAAACGAAACCUAGAUGAAACUAAUUAGCAUAACUUCAUCACAAACAUUUCGGCAUAACCUUCUGAAGAUGUUCAAGUCAUGCAGGUUGGCAACUAAAAUAUGAUUCUAGCAAUUGUUUGUCUGCUUAUCUAAUCCACAUUGUCUGAACAAAGUCUGCCCAGCUCCUAGGAUGACUAAAAGUUGUCCAUUUGUCCCUCACCAAAACCUUUUAAGAAACCAGGUCCCAUACUAGGUAGAUUGACCUAGAAGUCUUUGAUAUUUCUGAUGUUUGUGGGAGUGGUGGGGUUGUCGGAAAGCUUUUAGAUUAAAAAAUUUUGGAGUGAAGUUGGCAGGU